This 232-nucleotide ribosomal RNA is filed under the name uncultured bacterium. Its description in RNAcentral is "partial 16S ribosomal RNA". It matches the Rfam family "Bacterial small subunit ribosomal RNA", at positions 99 to 334 of the family's 1533-position model. The record is from RNAcentral.
CGGACGGGUGAGUAAUGUCUGGGGAAACUGCCUGAUGGAGGGGGAUAACUACUGGAAACGGUAGCUAAUACCGCAUAACGUCGCAAGACCAAAGAGGGGACCUUCGGGCCUCUUGCCAUCGGAUGUGCCCAGAUGGGAUUAGCUAGUAGGUGGGGUAACGGCUCACCUAGGCGACGAUCCCUAGCUGGUCUGAGAGGAUGACCAGCCACACUGGAACUGAGACACGGUCCAG